RNAcentral lists this ribosomal RNA (497 nucleotides) under uncultured bacterium. RNAcentral's name for it is "partial 16S ribosomal RNA". It matches the Rfam family "Bacterial small subunit ribosomal RNA", at positions 28 to 507 of the family's 1533-position model. The record is from RNAcentral.
GAUGAACGCUGGCGGCGUGCCUAAUACAUGCAAGUCGAGCGAACAGAUGAGGAGCUUGCUCCUCUGACGUUAGCGGCGGACGGGUGAGUAACACGUGGAUAACCUACCUAUAAGACUGGGAUAACUUCGGGAAACCGGAGCUAAUACCGGAUAAUAUAUUGAACCGCAUGGUUCAAUAGUGAAAGACGGUUUUGCUGUCACUUAUAGAUGGAUCCGCGCCGCAUUAGCUAGUUGGUAAGGUAACGGCUUACCAAGGCAACGAUGCGUAGCCGAUCUGAGAGGGUGAUUGGCCACACUGGAACUGAGACACGGUCCAGACUCCUACGGGAGGCAGCAGUAGGGAAUCUUCCGCAAUGGGCGAAAGCCUGACGGAGCAACGCCGCGUGAGUGAUGAAGGUCUUCGGAUCGUAAAACUCUGUUAUUAGGGAAGAACAAAUGUGUAAGUAACUAUGCACGUCUUGACGGUACCUAAUCAGAAAGCCACGGCUAACUACGUG